RNAcentral lists this ribosomal RNA (610 nucleotides) under Lodderomyces parapsilosis. RNAcentral's name for it is "eukaryotic LSU rRNA". It matches the Rfam family "Eukaryotic large subunit ribosomal RNA", at positions 40 to 666 of the family's 3401-position model. Lineage: Eukaryota; Fungi; Ascomycota; Pichiomycetes; Serinales; Debaryomycetaceae. The record is from RNAcentral.
AUAUCAAUAAGCGGAGGAAAAUAAACCAACAGGGAUUGCCUUAGUAGCGGCGAGUGAAGCGGCAAAAGCUCAAAUUUGAAAUCUGGCACUUUCAGUGUCCGAGUUGUAAUUUGAAGAAGGUAUCUUUGGGUCUGGCUCUUGUCUAUGUUUCUUGGAACAGAACGUCACAGAGGGUGAGAAUCCCGUGCGAUGAGAUGUCCCAGACCUAUGUAAAGUUCCUUCGAAGAGUCGAGUUGUUUGGGAAUGCAGCUCUAAGUGGGUGGUAAAUUCCAUCUAAAGCUAAAUAUUGGCGAGAGACCGAUAGCGAACAAGUACAGUGAUGGAAAGAUGAAAAGAACUUUGAAAAGAGAGUGAAAAAGUACGUGAAAUUGUUGAAAGGGAAGGGCUUGAGAUCAGACUUGGUAUUUUGUAUGUUACUCUCUCGGGGGUGGCCUCUACAGUUUACCGGGCCAGCAUCAGUUUGAGCGGUAGGAUAAGUGCAAAGAAAUGUGGCACUGCUUCGGUAGUGUGUUAUAGUCUUUGUCGAUACUGCCAGCUUAGACUGAGGACUGCGGCUUCGGCCUAGGAUGUUGGCAUAAUGAUCUUAAGUCGCCCGUCUUGAAACACGGAC